AUACGGAGGAUGCGAGCGUUAUCCGGAUUUAUUGGGUUUAAAGGGUGCGCAGGCGGGCGAUUAAGUCAGCGGUGAAAGGCUCGGGCUCAACCGGAGCAGUGCCGUUGAUACUGGUUGUCUUGAAUGCGGUCAAGGCCGGCGGAAUGUGGCGUGUAGCGGUGAAAUGCAUAGAUAUGCCACAGAACACCGAUAGCGAAGGCAGCUGGCCGGGCCUGCAUUGACGCUCAGGCACGAAAGCGUGGGGAUCGAACAGGAUUAGAUACCCUGGUAGUCCACGCUGUAAACGAUGGACACUCGUUGUCGGCGACAGUCAGUCGGCGGCCAAGCGAAAGUGAUAAGUGUCCCACCUGGGGAGUACGGUCGCAAGGCUGAAACUCAAAUGAAUUGACGGGG
This 393-nucleotide ribosomal RNA is filed under the name uncultured bacterium. RNAcentral's name for it is "partial 16S ribosomal RNA". It matches the Rfam family "Bacterial small subunit ribosomal RNA", at positions 523 to 918 of the family's 1533-position model. The record is from RNAcentral.